GACGAACGCUGGCGGCGUGCUUAACACAUGCAAGUCGAACGGAAAGGCCCUGCUUUUGUGGGGUGCUCGAGUGGCGAACGGGUGAGUAACACGUGAGUAACCUGCCCUUGACUUUGGGAUAACUUCAGGAAACUGGGGCUAAUACCGGAUAGGAGCUCCUGCUGCAGGGUGGGGGUUGGAAAGUUUCGGCGGUUGGGGAUGGACUCGCGGCUUAUCAGCUUGUUGGUGGGGUAGUGGCUUACCAAGGCUUUGACGGGUAGCCGGCCUGAGAGGGUGACCGGCCACAUUGGGACUGAGGUACGGCCCAGACUCCUACGUGAGGCAGCAGUGGGGAAUAUUGCCCAAUGGGCGGAAGCCUGAUGCAGCAACGCCGCGUGCGGGAUGACGGCCUUCGGGUUGUAAACCGCUUUCGCCUGUGACGAAGCGUGAGUGACGGUAAUGGGUAAAGAAGCACCGGCUAACUACGUG
This 468-nucleotide ribosomal RNA is filed under the name uncultured bacterium. Its description in RNAcentral is "partial 16S ribosomal RNA". It matches the Rfam family "Bacterial small subunit ribosomal RNA", at positions 28 to 507 of the family's 1533-position model. The record is from RNAcentral.